This 423-nucleotide long non-coding RNA is filed under the name Vulpes vulpes (red fox). Its description in RNAcentral is "lncRNA (ENSVVUG00000001309.1)". The record is from RNAcentral. Lineage: Eukaryota; Metazoa; Chordata; Mammalia; Carnivora; Canidae.
GGCAACUCUGCAGUCGGACCGGCCACCCUCUCCUGCCUGGCUCUGGCCGGACAGGAACCCUGGAAUUCCGAGGGAAUGAAGAGAAACUGAGCCAGAAGGGUUUUAGCUUCUUGCGUUCUGCUUCACAGCUGGAAAUCAAGGGUACCAGGAACCCACCCUCCCCCAGGAUCCCCAUAGGGGAGCCAGAGAAAGGCUCUCCAAGAUAUCCGGGUGUUACCACCGUCAGAAAUGGAGUUUUGGGAUCCCUGGUGGCUCAGCAGUUGAGUGCCUGCCUUCAGCCCAGGGCGUGAUCCUGGAGACUAAGGAUCGAGUCCCACGUCGGGCUCCUGCGUGGAGCCUGCUUCUCCCUCUGCCUGUGUCUCUGCCUCUCUCUCUGUGUAUCUCAUGAAUAAAUAAAUAAAAUCUUAAAAAAAAAAAAAGGAG